Molecule: ribosomal RNA, 468 nt
Filed under: uncultured bacterium
Lineage: Bacteria
Description: partial 16S ribosomal RNA
Rfam family: Bacterial small subunit ribosomal RNA
Source: RNAcentral
GACGAACGCUGGCGGCGUGCUUAACACAUGCAAGUCGAGCGGAAAGGCCCUGCUUUUGUGGGGUGCUCGAGUGGCGAACGGGUGAGUAACACGUGAGUAACCUGCCCUUGACUUUGGGAUAACUUCAGGAAACUGGGGCUAAUACCGGAUAGGAGCUCCUGCUGCAUGGUGGGGGUUGGAAAGUUUCGGCGGUUGGGGAUGGACUCGCGGCUUAUCAGCUUGUUGGUGGGGUAGUGGCUUACCAAGGCUUUGACGGGUAGCCGGCCUGAGAGGGUGACCGGCCACAUUGGGACUGAGAUACGGCCCAGACUCCUACGGGCGGCAGCAGUGGGGAAUAUUGCACAAUGGGCGGAAGCCUGAUGCAGCAACGCCGCGUGCGGGAUGACGGCCUUCGGGUUGUAAACCGCUUUCGCCUGUGACGAAGCGUGAGUGACGGUAAUGGGUAAAGAAGCACCGGCUAACUACGUG